Molecule: ribosomal RNA, 460 nt
Filed under: uncultured bacterium
Lineage: Bacteria
Description: partial 16S ribosomal RNA
Rfam family: Bacterial small subunit ribosomal RNA
Source: RNAcentral
CCUACGGGUGGCUGCAGUGAGGCAUAUUGGUCAAUGGGCGGGAGCCUGAACCAGCCAAGCCGCGUGAAGGACGACGGUGCUACGGGUUGUAAACUUCUUUUGUCAAGGAAUAAAAUCAGGCUCGUGUGCCUGACCGAGGGUACUUGAAGAAUAAGCAUCGGCUAACUCCGUGCCAGCAGCCGCGGUCAUACGGAGGAUGCGAGCGUUAUCCGGAUUUAUUGGGUUUAAAGGGUGCGUAGGCGGGAUGUUCAGUCAGUGGGUAAAGGUUGGGGGUCAAACCCAGGAGAGCCGUUGAAACUGGCUGUCUUGAGAUGAGGAGAGGUAUGCGGAAUGCGUGGUGUAGCGGUGAAAUGCUUAGAUAUUGCGAAGAACUCCGAUUGCGAAGGCAGCAUACCGACGGCGAUCUGACGCUGAGGCACGAAAGCGUGGGUAUCGAACAGGAGUAGAUACCCGAGUAGUC